AACGAACGCUGGCGGCAUGCCUAACACAUGCAAGUCGAACGAGACCUUCGGGUCUAGUGGCGCACGGGUGCGUAACGCGUGGGAAUCUGCCCUUGGGUUCGGAAUAACAGUUGGAAACGACUGCUAAUACCGGAUGAUGACGUAAGUCCAAAGAUUUAUCGCCCAAGGAUGAGCCCGCGUAGGAUUAGCUAGUUGGUGAGGUAAAGGCUCACCAAGGCGACGAUCCUUAGCUGGUCUGAGAGGAUGAUCAGCCACACUGGGACUGAGACACGGCCCAGACUCCUACGCGAGGCAACAGUGGAGAAUAUUAGACAGAGGGCGAAAGCCUGAUCCAGCAAUGCCGCGUGAGUGAUGAAGGCCAUAGGGUUGUAAAGCUCUUUUACCCGAGAUGAUAAUGACAGUACCGGAAGAAUAAGCUCCGGCUAACUCC
Molecule: ribosomal RNA, 430 nt
Filed under: uncultured bacterium
Lineage: Bacteria
Description: partial 16S ribosomal RNA
Rfam family: Bacterial small subunit ribosomal RNA
Source: RNAcentral